AAAAGUGGCGGGGGGGUGGGGUGGGUGCUCAGUGGUAGAGCCAUUGGGCUCAAUCUCCAGAUCCCAGUGCCUGGGACCUACCCGACAGCAGCAGGCCUUCGUACUGGGACUGAGUAUAACGUGGAGGCAGGUGGAGCCCUUGCCUGGCAGCCAGUGGGCCGAGGCCAUGAGCAGGAACAGCACCCUCAGCCGGUGGGAAGAUGCGUCCCUCCCCCUGGGCCUCCGGAAGCCCAUGUGGCGGGGCUGCACACGGCACACAAAGCCCCGGAGUCCCGGGAGGGACCGCUCACAGGGAGCAGGCGAGCUGUGCUGGCGUCUCAUCUCCGCAGCAGGACCCGCGGCAGCACCCAGGCCCAGUCCCUCAAAGCCUGGCGCCCAGCACGGCAGCGAGUGGCAUCUGAAUAGUUCCCUUUCCCUUGCUGCUGGAUGCAGAGAUGGACCCCGUGUCCUGCAAGCCCCUGUACCCUGUCCUCACAGCUUCCCCAUGGGGUCCCCACCUGCACACUGCCAGGCCUGCUCGGCUGCCAGGCAAGGACCCUCAAAGCACCCGGGAGGCCGGAAGCACAGCCCCUCACGCAGGGCCCUUUCUGCUGACUGCUGGUGACCACAGGACAAGCGGGGUGCAGAGUGGCGGCUCCCCUGCACCCGUCACCCACCCUAAGGUGCCCGCCAGGGAGACAGACAGUGAUGCGUGCAGAAAGGGGCUUGGAUGAGUGCAGCGGUCCGGAAGAUGGCCGCAUACUCAGCCGGGCCCCAGCCACGGCGUGCAGCUCAAUGGGGACGACACAGGGAGGGCGGGGGAUGCCGACUGCCUGCUCAGUGACCUCUGGGUCAUCAGAGAAGUCACCGCUGGGGAAACCCCCCAUUCCCUCAAGGGGACUGCUCCUGCCUGGGUGUGGGGAGCCCAUGGCCAGGCACUGCAAGGGUGGGGCCACUAAUCCGCAGGCCGAGGGUUGCCACUGCAUGCUUCUGCACGCAGCGCCAGGCUCAGGACAAGGCACAGUGACAGCAGCCGUUGACAGUCAGCUGAAAAUACUGUUAGAGCCGUCUGUGUCCUCGGCCAUGAGCGGGCAACCAGGCUGGCACGGGCAUCUUCCUGAUCAGCGGCCCCAGGAAGACGCCUGAGAGAAGUCAGCUCUGCCAGGGAGGCUGGCGAGGGCCCUGGGGCAGGGCCAGGGAGAAGGAGGAGGAGCUACACCUGACCUGGGGCUGGACCGGAAGAGCAGGGGACCUGGCUGGGAGGACCCCAAAGGAAGGGGGUGCAAAGGAGGAGUCCUGGAUGCUGCGGGACCCCAGGGUCCCCUGUCAGUCCCUAAGGUGGGAGAGCUGGAGGGGGGACCCUAAGGAAGAGGGGGCAGACCAGCCAGAUGAGGGACUGGGGGCAGGAACAGAGGGCCACAGUGAGGACUCAGGAGAGGACAGGCGGGUGGGCAGCAGAUAAAGUUGCGUCAGGCUGGGAACCAGAGCUGGCCUCGCCCCCGGGUGGCUCUGGGUCUGACUCAAGGGAUGGCAGCCGUCAGGAGAGGCCAUGGGACAGGAUGGAGCGGCUUAGCUGUGCACCCAGGCAGGGACAGCCGUGGGCAUGGGGCAGACCUGGAGGAGGAGGCCGGCGCUGGGAGCCAGCAGAGUUGCACUGCGGCCUCGGAACCCUGGUCCAUGCUCAACACAGCUAUGGAUUGCACAGCACCCCAUUUGACCCCCCGGAGUGGAGCUGCCAGGCCUGCCCAGGGGACCGCCGGGUGAGGGACACCUGUCACUGUCCCUGCCACAGUCCCACCCUGAGGCAGAGCCUGUGGCUGGAGCUGCCCCAGACGAGGUACCGGGCGCACUUUUGCCUGCAGGAGGGAGAGGGAGGGUGCUGCCUGGGUGUGCAGCAGGAGCCCCGCACCCCCUUUCCAAAGAGGCAGCACCUGUUUGGGAGCUGAGGAGCCUGCCCGGGGAGGGGGCAGGCCACCAUCUGGGCAGAGCCAAGCACAGAGCCCUCCCGCCCCACCCUGCUGGACCAACUGCCACAGAGGCUGGGCUGGGCCGAGCCGGUGCUGGGGUCCUGGCCGUCACCUCCAAGGCCUCUCCCCAAAGCCACUGUGCCAGGUAGGAGCCAGUCCCCGAUGCCUGUGGAGGAACUGGGGAGGCUGAGGCAGCACUGCCGCAGCACCCUGCGCUGCAGAGCCACACAGGACCUGGGCAGGGGAGAAGGGACGGGCAUGCGUGUGGCUCUGGCCAGGUCCUCAGGCCUAAGCAGCCUCAGUCCCCCAAGCCAGCGAGUCCCCAUGCAGCAGAUGACACCGGAGGCCCUCAGUGCUACCCCUGGUUGAAGCCGUCUCCUCAGCCAUGACUCCCUCUGCACCAUGUAUACACCCCAUUGCCAGCGAUGGGGCGCUGUCCUCCCAGGAAGAGACCCAGGGGCCCUGGGCACUGUGCCUUCCUUGCUGGGUCCUGGCCCAGGUCCCCCAGCAGCACAGCAAGGGCAGGUGGCUUUACAGGCCCCAUCUUGUCCCCUUGACACUGACAAGCCCCUUGCAGGUGCAGGAGAAAGAGGCUGCACAUCAAGCCUACCUUCCUGGGCCUCCAUGCCCUGUCCCCAUGCAGAGGGGACAGUGCCCAGGGCAGGGAACUCAGCCCUCGCCGGAAGGACAGGCAGCCUGGCUGAUGCAGGAGCGGCUGCAAGCCCAGGGGGAGGACAACACCAUGCUGAUCUCCAUGGCGUCCUCCAGGUGGAAGGGAGCGGCCCCUAGGGGAGCAAGGCCCGCUCCCCACAGGCUCUUCGUUCCUUCCUGCACUUCCUCCUGGAGAACUCCCGUCUGCCUUUCUGUUAGCCCAGCCUGGUGACCACGGCUCCUCCGUUUCUGUCCCUGUAACCCCUGUGUUUUGCCCUGGUGUUGAGGACACUGUCACUACUCGUGACGUCCGGACGGGGAUCCUGAGGACCUCUUGGAAGACAUCACCCCAGUGUGUUCUGGCCCUCGUCUCUGUCUCGUGUCAUCUCCUCGCUGUGGGUCUCCACUGUGGCCUGGGUAUGGACCAAGGCUGUCAGGCCGAGUGAGUGCCGGCCAAGGUGAAUGGCAGCCCCAGGGGUUGGGGUGCUGGAAACCUGGUCCCCACGGUGGCCUGGCAAGAGGUGGGAGCCCUUUCAGAAGUGGAGCCUGGUGCAAGGUCGGCGGGGCUGUGUCCUCCGCAGUAGUCAGGGUCGUUCCUGUGGAGGCCCUGGCAGGUUCUCAAAAACAAGGGAGUUUCCGACUGUGGUGGCUCACGCCUGUGAUCCUAGCACUGGGGAGGCUGAGGCAGGAAGAUCGUCAUGAGUUCAAAAGCAGCCUGGGCUACACAGAGACUUCGUCUCAAAAGAACAAAAAUAGCUUUAUUGAUUCAGUGGACUCUCGAGUUAUGACCAGGCUGACAUACGAACAACUUGGGUUACAACUGGAUAUACUAGGAAAAUUAUUGGUGUUUCUGGUAAGUUAGGAACAUUAUAUAACACUUUUUGUAUUAUAUAAAGGUUAGGGUGCUUUGGGAGGUUCGGAACACAUGGGUAUUCCCACUGUUUCUUAUGGGAAAAAUUGUCUUGAUUUAUAACCAGCUUGAGUUACAGUCAGCCCUGGAAAACGAAUUGAGUUCAUAAGUCAAGGGACCAGCGUGUAUAAUUUACAAACUGCAGUUGCCUUGCAGCCUAAGUCCCAUGGUUCUCACUGCGUCCACACUGUGUCCUCCUCACCACACCCUGUGUGUGACAUUCCCGUGAGAAACUCACCUCGAAGGAACUCCAACCCACCAGCAGUCGCUCCCAGCCCUCCUCUGUGGCCUGUCCUCUGCUGUGGGCGGCCGCGGAUCUACACACCUGCCAGUUCUGAUGUUUCGUGAAAACAGAGUCCUGUGUCCCAGCAUCUUUUGUGACUGGUUUCUUUGCUUAGCAUGAAGUUGUUUUUUGUUUUAUGAUUUGGGUAUGUGGGGGAGGUGAGCCAGGGUCUCGCUAUGUAGCUCGGCCUAGCCUUGAACUCACUAUGUAAUCCAAGCUGGCCUUCAAUUCCAGGCAAUCUUCGUGCCUCAGCCUCCUGAGUGCUGGGAUCACAGGCGUGCACCACCACACCUAGCUUGGCUAUCUUUUUAUAUGCUUACUCCCAUUUUACUUUCUUUCUUUUUUUUUCUUUUGUGAGACAGGGCCUCGCUGUGUAGUUCAGGCUGAGUUUGAACUCACUGUGUAGCCCAGACUGGCCUUGAACUCGUGGUGAUCCUCCUGCCUCAGCCUCCUGAGGUCUGGGAUUACAGGCCUGUGCCACCACGCCAGGCCUACAUCUUCUCUUAAAGGUCUCUUCAACAUCUUUGCCCAUUUAAGAAUUGUUUUUGUUGUUUUGUUUUGUGAGGAUUGAACCUUCAUACUGGGCAACGCCCUGAGCCCUUUUUUUUUUGGUACCGGGGAUCGAACUUGGGUCCUUGCGCUUGUGCAGCAGACGGCGAAACCACUGAGCUAAAUCCCCGGCCCCCUGAGCCCUUUUUCAGUUUUUAUUUUGAGACAAGUUCUCACUAAGUGGCUAAAUUGCCCCAGUAGGACUUGAACUUGUGAUCUCCUGCCUCUGCCUCCCACGGUGCUGGGAUCAUAGGCAGGCGCCCUGACUUGGUUGGAAGUUGGUCGCCUAUCUCUCUCCCUGUCCUGCCAGUGUUCCCUAGGUUCCGGUCGAGUUCCUGACAGGAAUGUGUUGGGCCAGCCUUCCUCAUUUGCUGGCCAUCUUUGCACGGAAGGGAGGGAGGGAGGGAGGGAGGCCCAGUGCCCUGAGAGGUGCACUGUGAGCUGCUGCCCUGCCAGGGGCUGCUGCACCAGUACCUGGAGUUGGUAGAAGACGCUUCAGGCUGGCACUCCCCUGCCUCACGCCCUGAAGCACUUGGCGCUCUGGGUGGGGCUGGAGUGGAGGGAUCAGAAAGUGGGGAGGACUGGAGACACCAGGCAGCUUGGGGCGCCCCCAGCAUCCUCCCAGGCUCAGGCCCGAGAGAUGCCCUGGCCGGGUGGAGGGCUGUGCCCAUGGCUUGAUGCCGGAACGGGUCGGGGCUUUAUGAGGGCAGGGCCUGCAGCGCAGAAGGGAAAAGACGGCCAGGGAUGUGGCUCAGUGAUGCUGUGCCUGCCUUCCAAGCAAAGGUCCUGAGUUCAAUACCAGGUACCAAAAAAAAAAAAGAAGUGAAAAGAAUCUUGGUUUAGCUCUAGUCUAGUAAGCACUGUGUCUGAACCAAACAAACAAUCCUGAGCUUCCUGGCAGCCAAAGCAAAAAGGGUGAUGGUAGUGGCAUCGUUCUAUGGAUAAAAGUGAGCAGAAAAGUCCAGGUGGAGAGCGAACUUGCCAGUGUGUGUCCCGCUCCACCGGACGUGGACAGCGGGACCUGAUGCUCUCCCUAGCGAUUUUGCAGUAGACCCGGGAACGCCUUGCACAGAGCAGUUUCCUGUAAGCUGCCCCCAGAGGGGUGAGAGGAGAAUCUGGCCGGGAGCCCAGCGCCCAGGACCAGCAGGCUGUCCAGGCACCAAGCAGGGUCUCCCGCCAGUUGAGCAAUGUGGAGAGUGUGCCCUCAGCCUGGGGACACCCCUGGCCGCUAUGGGACAGGGAAGCCACCUCUAACCCCUUCCACCCUUCCAGACUGAACCUGGGCACAAGGACCCGAAUUCGAUCCCUGGUACCAAAACAAAACAAAGCACAGAGAGAGACCUUUGUUAGUCAUCUGUUUAUCAGGUUUAUUGGUGUACCUUGUGAACCUGUGUGGUGCAGUGUUUUCGAACACACCGCCUUCCUCGAGUUCAUUUUUCCUCUUGCUCUGUGCUGUGGUUUUCUGGGGGCAGGGUGGGCUGCAGGGCCAGGUGGGGCACCUUGUGGCUGGGGUGGGCUCCAGCACUCUGCUGUCCUGCAUAGCCACUCUGCUCUCCCACCCAGUCCUGCAGUCACCGGGAGGCCACUCUGGGCGUUUGUCUUCCAUUCCAUUUUUUUUUUUGGUAUUAGGGAUCAAACUCAGGACCUUGUGCUUGCAAUGCAGGUGUGGCGCCGAGCCACAUCCCUGGCUGGGGACUGGAAUCUUCCAUUCCACCACGUGGUGUUCUCCAUCAGGCGCGUCUUGGCCUCCUGGUGCCUGACAUCCCAGAGGCCAUGGCUAUGAAGGUAAAGCAGGAGCACCUGCAGGCCAGCCCUCGGCUCAUGGCCACCGGGGCCCAGUGGCCUCCUGUUCCCUCUCGGAGGCCACAGCAGGGUCACCGGCCUGCCUGGAGGAGACUGAACACCAGGGGCAGCUCACCACUCACUCAGGGCCCACAGCCCCUGCCCCUCACUCCUCCUAGAAGCCCGGGCCCUGCUCCUACAACCUGCUUUCCCUAUUGGACUCCUCUCGGGGUCCCCAAGGCCAGGUAUCUGGUGGCCUUUGGGGGCUGAUCCUGCUACCCCCACCCAUGCCCCACCUCAUGAGGACCCUGUCUGAAAUGCUGGGUUUGGUGGCCCUUGCCUGCCUGGCUGCUCUGCUCAUGAGCCUGUCCUCCCUGGGCCUCAGUCCCCAGCUUCUCACCCCCUAGCAGGGCCCCAAAUCUCAGCCCAGGGGUCCCUGUCCACACUGACCAAGAGGAGGCUGUCUCCCUGGCCACACAGGCUUGUGAACCCUCCACUCGGACAUGACUCUUCUGCCAGUCUGGCUGUAGUGGGCUGACUAACAGUCAACUUGUAACGCCCAGCUGAACUGAAUCAGCGUGGCCUGGGCAUGGAAGACCCACCUGAAGAUUGUUAACAACAGCCAUAAAAAGAGAGCUGGAGGGGAGGAUCUUGGCCUGUUGAUUUCCUACGAGAAGCUUGCUGCAGAUGGUUUUCCUGAUGUGAACUUGGCUGUUCUCAUCGGAGGAGGGGCUCGGGCCCCACUGUCACUGGCAACGGCUGCUGUUUUCUCAUCAGGGGAGCUCUGGUCUUCACCGUGAGCAUCCCUUCCUGGCUCCAGUGUGGCUUCCUCAGCCUGGUGGCACAGAUCCUUCAUCUCACCGGCGCAGGUUUUCUGGCUUCUACCACUGGCCUUUGGGCCUUCCAGGUGCAGAUCCUUAAUAAGGACAAGCAGGAGAGAUUGCCGUGGGCUCUAGGCCACUAGCUGGACUCAAGGAGGACACUGCCUUUAGCUGGACUUGUGUGGGAAACUGCUGGGAUCCGGUCCCUUGGCUGAGUCCUUUGGGCUUCUAGUGUGUGGUUAAUCUCUUGCACUCCUUUGCAUUUGACUGUU
Heterocephalus glaber (naked mole-rat) is the source of this 7214-nucleotide non-coding RNA. Lineage: Eukaryota; Metazoa; Chordata; Mammalia; Rodentia; Bathyergidae. The record is from RefSeq and is a predicted model, not a curated record.